Molecule: ribosomal RNA, 303 nt
Filed under: uncultured bacterium
Lineage: Bacteria
Description: partial 16S ribosomal RNA
Rfam family: Bacterial small subunit ribosomal RNA
Source: RNAcentral
AGCAGUCGCCGCGGGAAUACGUAGGGUGCAAGCGUUAAUCGGAAUUACUGGGCGUAAAGCGUGCGCAGGCGGUCCGCUAAGACAGAUGUGAAAUCCCCGGGCUUAACCUGGGAACUGCAUUUGUGACUGGCGGGCUAGAGUAUGGCAGAGGGGGGUAGAAUUCCACGUGUAGCAGUGAAAUGCGUAGAGAUGUGGAGGAAUACCGAUGGCGAAGGCAGCCCCCUGGGCCAAUACUGACGCUCAUGCACGAAAGCGUGGGGAGCAAACAGGAUUAGAUACCCGCGUAGUCCCUGUCUCUUAUAC